AUUGAACGCUGGCGGCAGGCCUAACACAUGCAAGUCGAGCGGAUGAAGGGAGCUUGCUCCUGGAUGCAGCGGCGGACGGGUGAGUAAUGCCUAGGAAUCUGCCUUGUAGUGGGGGAUAACGUCCGGAAACGGGCGCUAAUACCGCAUACGUCCUGAUGGAGAAAGUGGGGGAUCUUCGGACCUCACGCUAUCAGAUGAGCCUAGGUCGGAUUAGCUAGUUGGUGGGGUAAAGGCCUACCAAGGCGACGAUCCGUAACUGGUCUGAGAGGAUGAUCAGUCACACUGGAACUGAGACACGGUCCAGACUCCUACGGGAGGCAGCAGUGGGGAAUAUUGGACAAUGGGCGAAAGCCUGAUCCAGCCAUGCCGCGUGUGUGAAGAAGGUCUUCGGAUUGUAAAGCACUUUAAGUUGGGAGGAAGGGCAGUAAGUUAAUACCUUGCUGUUUUGACGUUACCAACAGAAUAAGCACCGGCUAACUUCGUG
RNAcentral lists this ribosomal RNA (484 nucleotides) under uncultured bacterium. RNAcentral describes it as "partial 16S ribosomal RNA". It matches the Rfam family "Bacterial small subunit ribosomal RNA", at positions 30 to 507 of the family's 1533-position model. The record is from RNAcentral.